RNAcentral lists this long non-coding RNA (1770 nucleotides) under Marmota monax (woodchuck). The record is from RNAcentral. Lineage: Eukaryota; Metazoa; Chordata; Mammalia; Rodentia; Sciuridae.
CGGUUCGGAAGAUUUAUCUGGCAGUGUACGCAUUCUGAGAACAGGAGUUGAAUUAGUUCUCAAAAAUGGGAAGAACCUACAUUGUAGAAGAGAGUGUUGGCCAAUAUCUUUCAAACAUCAGUCUCCAAGGAAAAGCUUUUGUCUCCGGUCUUUUGAUAGGACAGAACACCACCCAAAGAAGAGCAAAAUGAGAACCUCAAACAUUCCAAAGCUAAGUUGGAUAAUUUGGAUGAAGAAUGGGCCACAGAACAUGCCAAUCAGGUAUCCAGGGGGACUUUUAGUUCUUGGAGUAUUUAUCAUUACAACUUUGGAACUGGCAAAUGAUUUUCAAAAUGCCCUGCGCAGACUAAUAUUUGCUAUGGAAAAGUGUAUGAAUAGAAAAAGAAUGUGGAAUUUCACAGAGGAGGAGAUCUCAGAACGAGUAAUACUUCACAUUUGCUCAUCUACAAAAAAAAUAUCUUGUCGAUAUUUUGGGUCAUGAUGUCCAUGACCCAAAGAGUUCAGCAAGACCAGCCGAUUGGAAGUAUCAAAGUGGACUGUCUACUUCAUGGCUUUCUCUAGAUUGUCCCAUUCACAUUGAUAUUCACAUUCUACUUUCUUCUACUUCUGUCAGCUAUACUCUGGAAAAAAUUACAAAGAAUGGACUUACAUGCUGGGCCAAGCAAAUAGAAAAUGGUGUUUAUUUGAUUAAUGGACAAGUUAAAGAUGAAGAUUGUGAUCUAUUAGAAGGACAGAAAAAAUCUUUCAGAGGAAAUACUCAAGCAACUAGUCAUUCUUUUGAUGUGAGAGUGCUAACACAAUUGCUUCUGAAUUCAGACCACAGAUCUACAGCCACAGUUCAGAUCUGCAGUGGUUCUGUAAACCUUAAGGGUUCUGUGAAAUGCAGAGCUUAUAUUCACAGCAGCAAACCCAAGGUUAAAGAUGCUAUGCAGGCAGUGAAGAGAGAUAUAUUGAACACAGUUGCUGAUCGUUGUGAAAUACUAUUCGAGGACCUGCUUUUGAAUGAAAUCCCAGAAAAAAAAAAAAAGAUUCUGAAAAAGUGUUCUACAUUGUCCCCAUUCCUGGAUCCACUGUAAAGUUAUGUGAUUAUAAAUUUGGUGAUGAAUCAGCCGAAGAAAUCAGAGACCAUUUUAUAGAAAUGUUAGAUCAUAUGUUCAAAUAGAAGAUGUGGAAAUUGCAGAGGAAGUCAACACAGCUUGUAUGAGCUCUAUGAAUAAUGAAGCUUCAUUGGAACACAAAGAUGAUAAACAGCUAGAGCAACCAAUUAAAACUACAGUAAUGUUGAAAAUUCGGCAAAACAUAGGUGUGACUGCAGCAUUUGCAGUUGCAGUUCUUGCUGCAGGUAUCUCCUUUCAUUACUUCAGUGAUUAGGGUGAGGCACAAAGAGCUUCCUGAUCAUCCAGAGAACAUUGGUCAACGACUAUAAAUAAUAAAGAUAUAAACAGUCCCUCUAUAGUCAAGACACUAGCAGUCAGAUCUUCUACCACACACACACACACACAAAAGAAAGAAAUAUAAAUGGUCAACAAAUAUAUGAAAAAAUGUUCAACAUCUCUAGCAAUUAGCAAAUUAAAACUACAUUGAGGUUUCAUCUUACUCCAGUCAGAAUGGCAAUUAUCAAGAUACAAGUUACCAGAAUACAAGUAACAUUAAUUUAAGUAAUAAAUGUUGGUGAGGAUGUGUGGAAAAAGUUACACUCAUUCAUUGCUAUCGGGACUGCAAAUUGGUAUAAUCACUCUGGAAACCAGUUAUGGGGUUCCUUAAAAAAAU